RNAcentral lists this ribosomal RNA (450 nucleotides) under uncultured bacterium. RNAcentral describes it as "bacterial SSU rRNA". It matches the Rfam family "Bacterial small subunit ribosomal RNA", at positions 329 to 793 of the family's 1533-position model. The record is from RNAcentral.
CUCCAGACUCCUACGGGAGGCAGCAGUGGGGAAUAUUGGGCAAUGGAGGCAACUCUGACCCAGCAACGCCGCGUGAAUGAUGAAGGUCUUCGGAUUGUAAAGUUCUUUUCUAAGGGAAGAAGAAAGUGACGGUACCUUAGGAAUAAGCACCGGCUAACUCCGUGCCAGCAGCCGCGGUAAUACGGAGGGUGCAAGCGUUACUCGGAAUCACUGGGCGUAAAGAGCGCGUAGGCGGGAUAGCAAGUCAGAUGUGAAAUCCUAUGGCUUAACCAUAGAACUGCAUUUGAAACUGUUAUUCUAGAGUAUGGGAGAGGUAGGUGGAAUUCUUGGUGUAGGGGUAAAAUCCGUAGAGAUCAAGAGGAAUACUCAUUGCGAAGGCGACCUGCUAGAACAUAACUGACGCUGAUGCGCGAAAGCGUGGGGAGCAAACAGGAUUAGAUACCCCGGUAC